GAGUUUGAUCUUGGCUCAGAUUGAACGCUGGCGGCAUGCCUUACACAUGCAAGUCGAACGGUAACAGGUCUUCGGAUGCUGACGAGUGGCGAACGGGUGAGUAAUACAUCGGAACGUGCCCAGACGUGGGGGGAUAACGAGGCGAAAGCUUUGCUAAUACCGCAUACGAUCUAAGGAUGAAAGCAGGGGACCGCAAGGCCUUGCGCGUUUGGAGCGGCCGACGGCAGAUUAGGUAGUUGGUGGGAUAAAAGCUUACCAAGCCGACGAUCUGUAGCUGGUCUGAGAGGGCGACCAGCCACACUGGGACUGAGACACGGCCCAGACUCCUACGGGAGGCAGCAGUGGGGAAUUUUGGACAAUGGGCGAAAGCCUGAUCCAGCAAUGCCGCGUGC
This 392-nucleotide ribosomal RNA is filed under the name uncultured microorganism. Its description in RNAcentral is "bacterial SSU rRNA". It matches the Rfam family "Bacterial small subunit ribosomal RNA", at positions 9 to 404 of the family's 1533-position model. The record is from RNAcentral.